UUAAUUGAAGAGUUUGAUCAUGGCUCAGAUUGAACGCUGGCGGCAGGCCUAACACAUGCAAGUCGAGCGGUAACAGAAAGUAGCUUGCUACUUUGCUGACGAGCGGCGGACGG
Molecule: ribosomal RNA, 113 nt
Filed under: Aliivibrio sp. SR45-2
Lineage: Bacteria; Pseudomonadati; Pseudomonadota; Gammaproteobacteria; Vibrionales; Vibrionaceae
Description: partial 16S ribosomal RNA
Rfam family: Bacterial small subunit ribosomal RNA
Source: RNAcentral